This 497-nucleotide ribosomal RNA is filed under the name uncultured bacterium. RNAcentral describes it as "partial 16S ribosomal RNA". It matches the Rfam family "Bacterial small subunit ribosomal RNA", at positions 28 to 507 of the family's 1533-position model. The record is from RNAcentral.
GAUGAACGCUGGCGGCGUGCCUAAUACAUGCAAGUCGAGCGAACGGACGAGAAGCUUGCUUUUCUGAUGUUAGCGGCGGACGGGUGAGUAACACGUGGAUAACCUACCUAUAAGACUGGGAUAACUUCGGGAAACCGGAGCUAAUACCGGAUAAUAUUUUGAACCGCAUGGUUCAAUAGUGAAAGACGGUCUUGCUGUCACUUAUAGAUGGAUCCGCGCUGCAUUAGCUAGUUGGUAAGGUAACGGCUUACCAAGGCAACGAGGCAUAGCCGAACUGAGAGGGUGAUAGGCGGCACUGGAACUGAGACACGGUCAAGACUCCUACGGGAGGCAGCAGUAGGGAAUGUUCCGCAAUGGGCGAAAGCAUGACGGAGCAACGCCGAGUGAGAGAUGAAGGUCCUCGGAUCGUAAAAAUCUGUUAUUAGGGAAGAACAUAUGUGUAAGUAACUGUGCACAUAUUGACGGUACCUAAUCAGAAAGCAACGGCUAACUACGUG